This 2491-nucleotide ribosomal RNA is filed under the name Listeria monocytogenes. Its description in RNAcentral is "partial 23S ribosomal RNA". It matches the Rfam family "Bacterial large subunit ribosomal RNA", at positions 360 to 2848 of the family's 2925-position model. RNAcentral also lists the same sequence under 1 other name. Lineage: Bacteria; Bacillati; Bacillota; Bacilli; Caryophanales; Listeriaceae. The record is from RNAcentral.
GACGGUAACAGCCCGGUAGUUGAAAUGGCUUUCCCUCCAGAGUGGAUCCUGAGUACGGCGGAACACGUGAAAUUCCGUCGGAAUCCGGGAGGACCAUCUCCCAAGGCUAAAUACUCCCUAGUGACCGAUAGUGAACCAGUACCGUGAGGGAAAGGUGAAAAGCACCCCGGAAGGGGAGUGAAACAGUUCCUGAAACCGUGUGCCUACAAGUAGUUAGAGCCCGUUAAUGGGUGAUAGCGUGCCUUUUGUAGAAUGAACCGGCGAGUUACGAUUUGUUGCAAGGUUAAGCGGAAAAAGCGGAGCCGUAGCGAAAGCGAGUCUGAAUAGGGCGCAUAAGUAACAGGUCGUAGACCCGAAACCAGGUGAUCUACCCAUGUCCAGGAUGAAGGUAAGGUAAUACUUACUGGAGGUCCGAACCCACGCACGUUGAAAAGUGCGGGGAUGAGGUGUGGGUAGCGGAGAAAUUCCAAUCGAACUUGGAGAUAGCUGGUUCUCUCCGAAAUAGCUUUAGGGCUAGCCUCGAGGUAAAGAGUCAUGGAGGUAGAGCACUGUUUGGACUAGGGGCCCUUCUCGGGUUACCGAAUUCAGAUAAACUCCGAAUGCCAUGUACUUAUACUCGGGAGUCAGACUGCGAGUGAUAAGAUCCGUAGUCGAAAGGGAAACAGCCCAGACCACCAGUUAAGGUCCCCAAAUAUAUGUUAAGUGGAAAAGGAUGUGGGGUUGCUUAGACAACCAGGAUGUUGGCUUAGAAGCAGCCACCAUUGAAAGAGUGCGUAAUAGCUCACUGGUCGAGUGACCCCGCGCCGAAAAUGUACCGGGGCUAAACAUAUUACCGAAACUGUGGAUGAACCUCUUUAGAGGUUCGUGGUAGGAGAGCGUUCUAAGGGCGGUGAAGUCAGACCGGAAGGACUGGUGGAGCGCUUAGAAGUGAGAAUGCCGGUAUGAGUAGCGAAAGAAGGGUGAGAAUCCCUUCCACCGAAUAUCUAAGGUUUCCUGAGGAAGGCUCGUCCGCUCAGGGUUAGUCGGGACCUAAGCCGAGGCCGAUAGGCGUAGGCGAUGGACAACAGGUAGAGAUUCCUGUACCAGUGCUAAUUGUUUAACCGAUGGGGUGACACAGAAGGAUAGGGAAUCGCACGAAUGGAAAUGUGCGUCCAAGCAGUGAGUGUGAGAAGUAGGCAAAUCCGCUUCUCGCGAAGCAUGAGCUGUGAUGGGGAAGGAAAUUAAGUACGGAAGUUCCUGAUUUCACGCUGUCAAGAAAAGCCUCUAGGAAGAGUAGUACUGCCCGUACCGCAAACCGACACAGGUAGAUGAGGAGAGAAUCCUAAGGUGAGCGAGAGAACUCUCGUUAAGGAACUCGGCAAAAUGACCCCGUAACUUCGGGAGAAGGGGUGCUCUAUUAGGGUGCAAGCCCGAGAGAGCCGCAGUGAAUAGGCCCAGGCGACUGUUUAGCAAAAACACAGGUCUCUGCAAAACCGUAAGGUGACGUAUAGGGGCUGACGCCUGCCCGGUGCUGGAAGGUUAAGAGGAGUGCUUAGCUUCGGCGAAGGUACGAAUUGAAGCCCCAGUAAACGGCGGCCGUAACUAUAACGGUCCUAAGGUAGCGAAAUUCCUUGUCGGGUAAGUUCCGACCCGCACGAAAGGCGCAACGAUCUGGGCACUGUCUCAACGAGAGACUCGGUGAAAUUAUAGUACCUGUGAAGAUGCAGGUUACCCGCGACAGGACGGAAAGACCCCGUGGAGCUUUACUGCAACCUGAUAUGGAAUGUUUGUACCGCUUGUACAGGAUAGGUAGGAGCCGAAGAGACGUGUGCGCUAGCAUACGAGGAGGCAAUGGUGGGAUACUACCCUGGCUGUAUGACCAUUCUAACCCGCCACGCUUAGCGCGUGGGGAGACAGUGUCAGGUGGGCAGUUUGACUGGGGCGGUCGCCUCCUAAAGAGUAACGGAGGCGCCCAAAGGUUCCCUCAGAAUGGAUGGAAAUCAUUCGCAGAGUGUAAAGGCACAAGGGAGCUUGACUGCGAGACUGACAAGUCGAGCAGGGACGAAAGUCGGGCUUAGUGAUCCGGUGGUUCCGCAUGGAAGGGCCAUCGCUCAACGGAUAAAAGCUACCCCGGGGAUAACAGGCUUAUCUCCCCCAAGAGUCCACAUCGACGGGGAGGUUUGGCACCUCGAUGUCGGCUCGUCGCAUCCUGGGGCUGUAGUCGGUCCCAAGGGUUGGGCUGUUCGCCCAUUAAAGCGGCACGCGAGCUGGGUUCAGAACGUCGUGAGACAGUUCGGUCCCUAUCCGUCGCGGGCGCAGGAAAUUUGAGAGGAGCUGUCCUUAGUACGAGAGGACCGGGAUGGACACACCGCUGGUGUACCAGUUGUUCCGCCAGGAGCAUCGCUGGGUAGCUAUGUGUGGCAGGGAUAAACGCUGAAAGCAUCUAAGCGUGAAGCCCCCCUCAAGAUGAGAUUUCCCAUUUCUUCGGAAAGUAAGAUCCCUGAAAGAUGAU